GAUGAACGCUGGCGGCGUGCUUAACACAUGCAAGUCGAACGGAAAGGCUCCUGCUUGCAGGGGUACUCGAGUGGCGAACGGGUGAGUAACACGUGGGUGAUCUGCCCUGCACUUCGGGAUAAGCCUGGGAAACUGGGUCUAAUACCGGAUAGGACCACAUGUUGGAUGGUGUGGUGGAAAGUUUUUCGGUGUGGGAUGAGCUCGCGGCCUAUCAGCUUGUUGGUGGGGUAAUGGCCUACCAAGGCGUCGACGGGUAGCCGGGCUGAGAGGGUGGACGGCCAAGUUAGGACUGAGAUACGGCCCAGCCUAGAAUGGGAGGCAACAGAGGGGAAUAGAGCACAAUGGGAGCGAGCCUGAUGCGACGACGCAGCGUGGGGGAUGACGGCAUUCGGGUAGUGAACUACAUUCGCUAGAGACGAAGCGCAAGUGACGGUACCUGGAGAAGAAGCACCGGCUAACUACGUG
RNAcentral lists this ribosomal RNA (465 nucleotides) under uncultured bacterium. RNAcentral describes it as "partial 16S ribosomal RNA". It matches the Rfam family "Bacterial small subunit ribosomal RNA", at positions 28 to 507 of the family's 1533-position model. The record is from RNAcentral.